GUGGUAAUGCCGGAUGCUCCAUCACACCGCAUGGUGUGUUGGGAAAGCCUUUGCGGCAUGGGAUGGGGUCGCGUCCUAUCAGCUUGAUGGCGGGGUAACGGCCCACCAUGGCUUCGACGGGUAGCCGGCCUGAGAGGGCGACCGGCCACAUUGGGACUGAGAUACGGCCCAGACUCCUACGGGAGGCAGCAGUGGGGAAUAUUGCACAAUGGGCGCAAGCCUGAUGCAGCGACGCCGCGUGAGGGAUGGAGGCCUUCGGGUUGUAAACCUCUUUUGUUAGGGAGCAAGGCACUUUGUGUUGAGUGUACCUUUCGAAUAAGCACCGGCUAACUACGUGCCAGCAGCCGCGGUAAUACGUAGGGUGCAAGCGUUAUCCGGAAUUAUUGGGCGUAAAGGGCUCGUAGGCGGUUCGUCGCGUCCGGUGUGAAAGUCCAUCGCUUAACGGUGGAUCCGCGCCGGGUACGGGCGGGCUUGAGUGCGGUAGGGGAGACUGGAAUUCCCGGUGUAACGGUGGAAUGUGUAGAUAU
This 527-nucleotide ribosomal RNA is filed under the name Bifidobacterium breve. RNAcentral describes it as "bacterial SSU rRNA". It matches the Rfam family "Bacterial small subunit ribosomal RNA", at positions 160 to 697 of the family's 1533-position model. Lineage: Bacteria; Bacillati; Actinomycetota; Actinomycetes; Bifidobacteriales; Bifidobacteriaceae. The record is from RNAcentral.